GCGCGGGUGGUGGAAUUGGCAGACACAUACGUUUGAGGGGCGUAUGAGGAAACUCGUGCGGGUUCAAGUCCCGCCCCGCGCA
RNAcentral lists this transfer RNA (82 nucleotides) under Candidatus Omnitrophota bacterium. Its description in RNAcentral is "tRNA-Leu". It matches the Rfam family "tRNA". Rfam says of the family: Transfer RNA (tRNA) molecules are approximately 80 nucleotides in length. The record is from RNAcentral. Lineage: Bacteria; Pseudomonadati; Candidatus Omnitrophota.